This 540-nucleotide long non-coding RNA is filed under the name Monodelphis domestica (gray short-tailed opossum). RNAcentral's name for it is "lncRNA (ENSMODG00000033101.2)". Lineage: Eukaryota; Metazoa; Chordata; Mammalia; Didelphimorphia; Didelphidae. The record is from RNAcentral.
CAGCACUGUGGUUGGUCAUCUUUGUGCAAGUGGUAGUGUCAUAAUGCAUUUUCAUUGUGUUCAGUUUGGUAUUCAUCUGCAAAAUCCCAUAAUAUAGCAAAAACUCUGUGAUACAGAAUUAGAUAUAUUUAACAACAACAAAAAACACAAUACAAUGAAGUUGCAAUAAGUGAAUCAUGAUAUAGCGAGGGACGACUGUACCCCACCAUAUCUACUGUUCUCCAAACUCAGUAUGGUAUUUCAUCCUUUUGUAUGAGCUUUAGUGAAUUCCUGGAAUAUUCUCCCAACUCACCAAUGCCUCUCAAAAUACUUCAUUUCCUUCAGGUUUCCAUCUCCAAAGAGAAACUUUUGUUACUCCCUGUAAAUACUUUGAUGCUAAUGGUGAAGAAAUAUUGCAUAACUGAGGAAGAAAAACCAGAGGCUCCCUUUCCAGAUUCUCAACAGCUUUAAUGCUUUUUUCUUCAUUGGCACAGCCCAGGUGACCUAUAGGCAUCUUAAUUUCCAUUUGAAUCAUUGUCCUUAGGAUUCCAGGGGCUGCGU